AACAUGGAGCGAAUCUCAAAAAGAUAGUCUCAGUUCGGACUGUGGGCUGCAACCCGCCCACACGAAGUUGGAGUUGCUAGUAAUCCCGAAUCAGCAUGUCGGGGUGAAUGCGUUCCCGGGUCUUGUACACACCGCCCGUCAAGCCAUGGGAGUUGGGAGUGCCCGAAGUCGGUGACCUAACCGUAAGGAAGGAGCCGCCUAAGGUAAUACCAAUGACUGGGGUUAAGUCGUAACAAGGUAGC
RNAcentral lists this ribosomal RNA (242 nucleotides) under uncultured bacterium. Its description in RNAcentral is "partial 16S ribosomal RNA". It matches the Rfam family "Bacterial small subunit ribosomal RNA", at positions 1259 to 1500 of the family's 1533-position model. The record is from RNAcentral.